AGAAAUACAGAACGUUGGAAUGAAUCUUCAUCACUUUCUAAUAUGGGAAGAAAAUGCCUUUGAAGGGAGCGUUGUGGUGGUGCAUCAGAGGCUUUCUCCUUGGCAGAGUGUGAGAGUGGUCUAUUGCAGUACGGUAGUGCCCUCUGAUGAGGUGACGGUGGUUUACCAAAAUGGCUUACCUGUGAUUUCUGUGAAUCUUCCAUCUCGGCGCGAACGUUGCCAGUUCACGCUUAAACCUAUCUCAGACUCUGUUGGUGUGUUCUUACAACAGCUGCAAGCAGAGGACCGAGGAAUUGAUCGGGUUGCGAUCUACUCAGCAGAUGGCACCCGUGUUGCUUCCUCCACGGGCAUAGAUUUGCUUCUACUGGAUGACUUCAAACUGAUCAUCAAUGACAUCACAUAUCAUGUUAGACCACCAAAGAGAGAGCUCUUAAGCCAUGAGAACGCAACCACGCUGAAUGAUGUCAAGACAUUGGUUCAGCAGUUGUACACUGCCUUGUGCAUCGAGGAGCACCAGCUGAACAAAGAGAAGGAGCUCAUAGGGAGGCUAGAGGAAUUGAAGGAGCAACUAGCACCACUAGAAAAAGUAAGGCUGGAGCUCAGCAGGAAAGCAGAGAAGAGGACAACCUUGGUGUUGUGGGGAGGGCUGGCCUACAUGGCCACUCAGUUUGGGAUUCUGGCCCGCCUCACCUGGUGGGAAUACUCUUGGGACAUUAUGGAACCAGUCACCUAUUUCAUCACCUAUGGUAGUGCCAUGGCAAUGUAUGCUUAUUUCGUAAUGACUCGCCAGGAGUAUGUUUAUCCAGAUGCAAGAGACAGACAGUACUUACUAUUUUUCCAUAAAGGAGCCAAAAAGUCACGAUUUGAUCUAGAGAAAUACAAUCAACUCAAGGAUGCAAUUGCUCAGGCAGAAUUGGACCUUAAGAGGCUUCGAGAUCCACUGCAGGUUCACCUGCCCAUCCAGCAAAUUGAUGAAAAGGACUGAUCAGCAAAGAAGCUCUGAACUCUGGCAAAAAACCUGUUCAUAGCUCUUGCCUUUUAAAUUAAAGCAUUGCAGGUGGAAGCUGGGAGGUGGUGUGUGGGUGGAGGGGUUUUGGUUGGCUUUUUUUUUUUAACCUUUAAUCAAGAUAAAGGACUGUAAGGGGAAAUCUCUUAAAUUUGAAGAUGGGGCAUUGUGGAAUGUUAGUUCCGAAAAGGGCUUGGCAAAUAGUCAUAUUUAAAACCGUGUGAACGGCAAUUGUGUACAAAUACAGGAUUGGGGGGGUUCAUGAAAAGAAUGUAAUGCUGGGGCAGGGAUGUCUUCUUCCAGCUCUGCAGAGUCUGCCUCCUGAUAAGACACCAGCAGCCUGCUUAGCUUUUUAAAGUUUCCUUUACCUGACUCAGUUCUCUCUUUCUCUCUUAACAAAACAAAAAAGGGAAAAAAAAAAAGAACAAAGAAUCCACGCCACCUGGAGCUAUGGCUGGUGAUCAGAUCUUGCGCUCCACCGCCAUUAACACGCACACUUCUGAUCAGACCUGGUCUCUUUUAUAAAGUUACUACAAGACUGCUUUCUACUGGAAAACCGUGGUUUCUUCCUGACCUUAACAUCACUGAGGCCACGUGGUGCAGAUAAUAACUUUCCUGAAGAAGCUUGGAUGGAGGUCUUCUUGCUGCCAUAUCUAGCUGCAUAACACAGGGAUCUCAAGAGCAAUUGAGGUGGUCAGGUAGAAGUAGAGAUGUUUGGUCUAACAAAGGUGGCUACCUUUAUUUGACCAGCAUAGUAGUUCCCUGUGGAGGCUGGCAACAUCUGGUGACAUGUGACAAGUUGCAGAAUAAGAAUGUAUGUAACACCCAGCAACCUAAAACAUGCCAAGCAAAUUGGAACAUGCCAUUCAAAUACUGUUUCAAAGGAAAGUUCAAGUUUUAAGCUCACAUUCCUUCCUUACUGAGCCCUUCUGAGUCCUUCAAUGGCUGUGAUUAAUCUGAUUAGUCAUGAUGAUAUAUCUUUAAUUCAUUAACAUUAUGUGUCAGCAGACUGUGUACUUAAUCCUAACUUUAUUGGAUAUUAGGAAGAGAUGUUCAGUGUCAGAAGAUUUUUAUCAUGUCUGUAAAAUUUCAUGAUUGUCAGCUUUUCCAACAGUGAAGUCUCUUGUCUGUCUUUAAAGUCAGAGAUGAGGGACCAGAGGCUGUUAACGGUGGUGAGCUGCUUUUAAACAUUGCUGAAAUUUACUUCAGCAGUGCUGGCAAACCCUUUUCCUCCAAGCAGCUCAGAACGAUUGUGUAAGAAUGCAUCCAUUUUCUCAUCAAGAAGAACUGAAGGUUUUGACACUUAACACCAAAAUCCGUAUUUUGAAAGCAGGAAAGCACUAGAAGGCUGUGCUGCCAUUGAACAAGACAGACUGGAGAGUUGGACAGAGUGGGGUUCAACAAGACUAAAUGUAGGUUCCUGCAGCUGGGGGGGAAUAACUGCAUGCAUCAGUACAGGUUAGGGGCUGACCUGCUGGAGAGAAGCUCUGAGAAGAAGAACCUGAGUGUCCUGGUGGACAACAGGUUGGCCCUGAGCCAGCAGUGUGUUUUUGUGGCCAAGAAGGCCAGUGGAAUCUAGGGAUGCAUUAAGAUGAAUGUGGCCAGCAAGUUGGGGGAGGUGAUCCUCCCUGUCUACUCUGCCCUGGUGAGGCUGCACCUGGAGCACUGUGUCCAGUUCUGGGCUCUGUGUUUCGAAAAAGACAGGGAUAUUCAAAAGAGAGUCCAGCAAGGGGCCACAAAGAUGAUGAGGGGUCUGGAGCAUCUCCCAUAUGAGGAAAGGCUGAGAGACCUAGGACUGUUCAGCCAAAACUGAAAGAUGAUAACUGUCUAUGUUUAAAAGUAUCUAAUGUGCAGGAGACAAAUGGAUGGGGCCAGGCUUUUUUCAGUGAUGUGUGGUGACAGAAUAAGGAGCAGUGGGCAAACACUGGAAUACCAGAAGUUCCGUACAAACAUGAAAAAAAUUAUUUACUGUGAGGUGACAGUACACUGGAACAGGCUGUCUGGAUAGGCUGUGGAACCUCCUUCUCUGAGGAUAUCCAAGACCUUCCUGAAUGCUUUCCUGUGCAGCCUGCUUGUUGGGUAGUAGCCUGCUUUAGCAGGAGAUUGGGCUCAAUGAUCUCCAGAUGACCCUUCUGAUUCUUGUGAUUUCUGGAGAAGCGGGCAGCCCAUGGCUUGGAUAGGCACAUUCUUUGCUGGGUAAAAAAUUGGCUGGAUUGGCUCAGAAAGUGGUGGUGAAUGGAGUAAACACCAGAUGGCAACCAGUCACGAGUGGUCUUCCUCAGGGGUUGGUAUUGGGACCUGUCCUGUUUGAUGUCUUUAUUGAUGACCUAGAUGAGGACAUUGAGUGCAUCCUCAGUAAGUUUGCAGAUAACACCAAGUUGGCUCGAAGUGUCGAUCUGCCUUGGGGUAGGAGGGCCCUACAGAGGGAUCUGGACAGGCUGGAUUGCUGGGCUGAGGCCAAUGGGAUGAGGUUCAGCAAGACCGAGUGCCAGGUCCUGCGCUUUGGCCACAGCAACCUCAGGCAACAGUAGAGGCUUGGGGCGGAGUGACUGGUUUCCUCUGUGUAGAGGAAACAGACCUGGGGUACUGAACAACGCUUAGUUGAAUGUGAGCCAGCAGUGCGCCCAGGUCAAUGCCAAUGGCAAGAAGGCCAGUGGCAUCCUGACUUGUAUCAGAAAUGGUGCAGUCAGCAGGAGCAGGAAGAGACUGUGCCUCUGUACUCGGCUCUGGUGAGGCUGCUCCUUGAGUGCUGUGUUCAGUGUUGGGCCCCUCGCUACAAGAAAGGCACGGAGGCCCUGCAGCACGUUCUCAGCCUGGAGAAGAGGAGGUGCAGGGGAGACCUUAUUGCCCUCUACAACUCUUUGAAAGGAGGUUGUGGUGAGGUGUGGGUCAACCUUUUCCAUGUAGCUGGCAAUAGUACAAGAGGGAAUGGCCUCAACUUGCACCAGGAGAGAAUUCAGGUUGUGUGUUAGGAAAUACUACUUCUUUGAGAGCGCCGUCAGGUGCUGGCAUGGGCUGCCUAGGGAGGUGGAGGAGUCACUAUCCCUGGAGGUGUUCAAGAAACGUUUAAUGUUGUACAGAGGGACAUGGUUCAGUGGGAAAUAUUGAUGAUAGGUGCACUGACGGACUGGAUGAUCUUGGAGGUCCUUGCCAACCUUGGUGGUUCUGUGAUUGUCUGGUAUGUUCCUGUCCCACUGACUCAAUUUUAAGCGCAAACAGUGCCAGAAUCUUAAUGCAACAUUGUGUUUUUAAGACCUCACGAAGUAUAAACAGCAGCAUCUAUUGCAAUGUUCUGAUGCCUCUUUUUUUACCAGUUUUAUUGUUUAUUUGCUUUUAAUCUCUCCUCUCAUUUUCUGUAAAGGACCUUUCAAAUAAACAAGUUUAAAAUUGU
Molecule: RNA transcript, 4397 nt
Organism: Centrocercus urophasianus (Greater sage-grouse)
Lineage: Eukaryota; Metazoa; Chordata; Aves; Galliformes; Phasianidae
Gene: MCU
Gene name: mitochondrial calcium uniporter
Exons: 10
Source: RefSeq, a predicted model, not a curated record